AGUCAUAUGCUUGUCUCAAAGAUUAAGCCAUGCAUGUCUAAGUAUAAGCGACUAUACUGUGAAACUGCGAAUGGCUCAUUAAAUCAGUUAUGGUUUAUUUGAUGGUACCUACUACUUGGAUAACCGUAGUAAUUCUAGAGCUAAUACAUGCAGGAAGACCCGACUUCGGAAGGGUUGUAUUUAUUAGAUAAGAAACCAAUCCAGCUUGCUGGUUGCGUGCCGAGUCACAAUAACUGCUCGAAUCGCAUGGCUUUACGCCGGCGAUGGUUCAUUCAAAUUUCUGCCCUAUCAGCUUUCGAUGGUAGGAUCGAGGCCUACCAUGGCGUUUACGGGUAACGGAGAAUUAGGGUUCGAUUCCGGAGAGGGAGCCUGAGAGAUGGCUACCACAUCCAAGGAAGGCAGCAGGCGCGUAAAUUGCCCGAAUCCUGACACAGGGAGGUAGUGACAAGAAAUAACAAUACAGGGCUACAUCUAGUCUUGUAAUUGGAAUGAGUACAAUUUACAUCCCUUAUCGAGUAUCAAU
Molecule: ribosomal RNA, 523 nt
Filed under: uncultured eukaryote
Lineage: Eukaryota
Description: SSU rRNA
Rfam family: Eukaryotic small subunit ribosomal RNA
Source: RNAcentral